GUCAUUGUGGCGCAAUGGAUAGCGCGUUGGACUUCUAAUUCAAAGGUCGUGGGUUCAAGUCCCACCUGGGAUG
RNAcentral lists this transfer RNA (73 nucleotides) under Trichonephila clavata. It matches the Rfam family "tRNA". Rfam says of the family: Transfer RNA (tRNA) molecules are approximately 80 nucleotides in length. Lineage: Eukaryota; Metazoa; Arthropoda; Arachnida; Araneae; Nephilidae. The record is from Rfam by way of RNAcentral.